Molecule: ribosomal RNA, 497 nt
Filed under: uncultured bacterium
Lineage: Bacteria
Description: partial 16S ribosomal RNA
Rfam family: Bacterial small subunit ribosomal RNA
Source: RNAcentral
GAUGAACGCUGGCGGCGUGCCUAAUACAUGCAAGUCGAGCGAACAGACGAGGAGCUUGCUCCUCUGACGUUAGCGGCGGACGGGUGAGUAACACGUGGAUAACCUACCUAUAAGACUGGGAUAACUUCGGGAAACCGGAGCUAAUACCGGAUAAUAUAUUGAACCGCAUGGUUCAAUAGUGAAAGACGGUUUUGCUGUCACUUAUAGAUGGAUCCGCGCCGCAUUAGCUAGUUGGUAAGUUAACGGCUCACCAAGGCAACGAUGCGUAGCCGACCUGAGAGGGUGAUCGGCCACACUGGAACUGAGACACGGUCCAGACUCCUACGGGAGGCAGCAGUAGGGAAUCUUCCGCAAUGGGCGAAAGCCUGACGGAGCAACGCCGCGUGAGUGAUGAAGGUCUUCGGAUCGUAAAACUCUGUUAUUAGGGAAGAACAAAUGUGUAAGUAACUAUGCACGUCUUGACGGUACCUAAUCAGAAAGCCACGGCUAACUACGUG